GAGCUCGUGGCGGCUGCUAUACAUGCAGUCGACGAACUUCCGUUAAUUGAUUAUGACGUACUUGUACUGAUUGAGAUUUUAACACGAAGUGAGUGGCGAACGGGUGAGUAACACGUGGGUAACCUGCCCAGAAGUAGGGGAUAACACCUGGAAACAGAUGCUAAUACCGUAUAACAGAGAAAACCGCAUGGUUUUCUUUUAAAAGAUGGCUCUGCUAUCACUUCUGGAUGGACCCGCGGCGUAUUAGCUAGUUGGUGAGGUAAAGGCUCACCAAGGCAGUGAUACGUAGCCGACCUGAGAGGGUAAUCGGCCACAUUGGGACUGAGACACGGCCCAGACUCCUACGGGAGGCAGCAGUAGGGAAUCUUCCACAAUGGACGCAAGUCUGAUGGAGCAACGCCGCGUGAGUGAAGAAGGGUUUCGGCUCGUAAAGCUCUGUUGUUAAAGAAGAACGUGGUAAGAGUAACUGUUUACCCAGUGACGGUAUUUAACCAGAAAGCCACGGCUAACUACGUGCCAGCAGCCGCGGUAAUACGUAGGUGGCAAGCGUUAUCCGGAUUUAUUGGGCGUAAAGCGAGCGCAGGCGGUCUUUUAAGUCUAAUGUGAAAGCCUUCGGCUCAACCGAAGAAGUGCAUUGGAAACUGGGAGACUUGAGUGCAGAAGAGGACAGUGGAACUCCAUGUGUAGCGGUGAAAUGCGUAGAUAUAUGGAAGACACCAGUGCGAAGGCGGCUGUCUGGUCUGCAACUGACGCUGAGGCUCGAAAGCAUGGGUAGCGAACAGGAUUAGAAUACCCUGGUAGUCCAUGCCGUAAACGAUGAUUACUAAGUGUUGGAGGGUUUCCGCCCUUCAGUGCUGCAGCUAACGCAUUAAGUAAUCCGCCUGGGGAGUACGACCGCAAGGUUGAAACUCAAAAGAAUUGACGGGGGCCCGCACAAGCGGUGGAGCAUGUGGUUUAAUUCGAAGCUACGCGAAGAACCUUACCAGGUCUUGACAUCCUUCUGACAGUCUUAAGAGAUUAGAGGUUCCCUUCGGGGACAGAAUGACAGGUGGUGCAUGGUUGUCGUCAGCUCGUGUCGUGAGAUGUUGGGUUAAGUCCCGCAACGAGCGCAACCCUUAUUACUAGUUGCCAGCAUUAAGUUGGGCACUCUAGUGAGACUGCCGGUGACAAACCGGAGGAAGGUGGGGACGACGUCAAAUCAUCAUGCCCCUUAUGACCUGGGCUACACACGUGCUACAAUGGAUGGUACAACGAGUCGCGAGACCGCGAGGUUAAGCUAAUCUCUUAAAACCAUUCUCAGUUCGGACUGUAGGCUGCAACUCGCCUACACGAAGUCGGAAUCGCUAGUAAUCGCGGAUCAGCAUGCCGCGGUGAAUACGUUCCCGGGCCUUGUACACACCGCCCGUCACACCAUGAGAGUUUGUAACACCCAAAGCCGGUGGGG
This 1444-nucleotide ribosomal RNA is filed under the name Pediococcus pentosaceus. RNAcentral's name for it is "bacterial SSU rRNA". It matches the Rfam family "Bacterial small subunit ribosomal RNA". The record is from RNAcentral. Lineage: Bacteria; Bacillati; Bacillota; Bacilli; Lactobacillales; Lactobacillaceae.